RNAcentral lists this ribosomal RNA (253 nucleotides) under uncultured bacterium. Its description in RNAcentral is "partial 16S ribosomal RNA". It matches the Rfam family "Bacterial small subunit ribosomal RNA", at positions 524 to 776 of the family's 1533-position model. The record is from RNAcentral.
GACGGAGGGUGCUAGCGUUGUUCGGAAUUACUGGGCGUAAAGCGUGCGCAGGCGGUUGUGCAAGACCGAUGUGAAAUCCCCGGGCUUAACCUGGGAAUUGCAUUGGUGACUGCACGGCUAGAGUGUGUCAGAGGGGGGUAGAAUUCCACGUGUAGCAGUGAAAUGCGUAGAGAUGUGGAGGAAUACCGAUGGCGAAGGCAGCCCCCUGGGAUAACACUGACGCUCAUGCACGAAAGCGUGGGGAGCAAACAGG